This 877-nucleotide ribosomal RNA is filed under the name Saccharomyces cerevisiae (brewer's yeast). RNAcentral describes it as "eukaryotic LSU rRNA". The stretch from base 389 to 543 matches the Rfam family "5.8S ribosomal RNA". Lineage: Eukaryota; Fungi; Ascomycota; Saccharomycetes; Saccharomycetales; Saccharomycetaceae. The record is from RNAcentral.
UAGGUGAACCUGCGGAAGGAUCAUUAAAGAAAUUUAAUAAUUUUGAAAAUGGAUUUUUUUGUUUUGGCAAGAGCAUGAGAGCUUUUACUGGGCAAGAAGACAAGAGAUGGAGAGUCCAGCCGGGCCUGCGCUUAAGUGCGCGGUCUUGCUAGGCUUGUAAGUUUCUUUCUUGCUAUUCCAAACGGUGAGAGAUUUCUGUGCUUUUGUUAUAGGACAAUUAAAACCGUUUCAAUACAACACACUGUGGAGUUCUCAUAUCUUUGCAACUUUUUCUUUGGGCAUUCGAGCAAUCGGGGCCCAGAGGUAACAAACACAAACAAUUUUAUCUAUUCAUUAAAUUUUUGUCAAAAACAAGAAUUUUCGUAACUGGAAAUUUUAAAAUAUUAAAAACUUUCAACAACGGAUCUCUUGGUUCUCGCAUCGAUGAAGAACGCAGCGAAAUGCGAUACGUAAUGUGAAUUGCAGAAUUCCGUGAAUCAUCGAAUCUUUGAACGCACAUUGCGCCCCUUGGUAUUCCAGGGGGGCAUGCCUGUUUGAGCGUCAUUUCCUUCUCAAACAUUCUGUUUGGUAGUGAGUGAUACUCUUUGGAGUUAACUUGAAAUUGCUGGCCUUUUCAUUGGAUGUUUUUUUUCCAAAGAGAGGUUUCUCUGCGUGCUUGAGGUAUAAUGCAAGUACGGUCGUUUUAGGUUUUACCAACUGCGGCUAAUCUUUUUUUAUACUGAGCGUAUUGGAACGUUAUCGAUAAGAAGAGAGCGUCUAGGCGAACAAUGUUCUUAAAGUUUGACCUCAAAUCAGGUAGGAGUACCCGCUGACUUAAGCAUAUCAAUAAGCGGAGGAAAAGAAAUCAUCGGAUUGCCUAGUACGCGAGUGACAGGGA